RNAcentral lists this ribosomal RNA (302 nucleotides) under uncultured bacterium. Its description in RNAcentral is "partial 16S ribosomal RNA". It matches the Rfam family "Bacterial small subunit ribosomal RNA", at positions 508 to 807 of the family's 1533-position model. The record is from RNAcentral.
GCAGUAGCCGCGGUAAUACAGAGGUCCCGAGCGUUGUUCGGAUUCACUGGGCGUAAAGGGUGUGUAGGAGGCUUGGUAAGUCAGGUGUGAAAUCCCGCAGCUCAACUGCGGAACUGCAUUCGAUACUGCCGAGCUAGAGGAUCGGAGGGGGAAGCGGAAUUCUUGGUGUAGCGGUGAAAUGCGUAGAUAUCAAGAGGAACACCGGUGGCGAAGGCGGCUUCCUGGAAGAUACCUGACUCUGAAACACGAAAGCUAGGGGAGCGAAUGGGAUUAGAUACCCGAGUAGUCCCUGUCUCUUAUAC